Molecule: transfer RNA, 84 nt
Filed under: Coprinopsis marcescibilis
Lineage: Eukaryota; Fungi; Basidiomycota; Agaricomycetes; Agaricales; Psathyrellaceae
Description: tRNA-Asp
Rfam family: tRNA
About the family: Transfer RNA (tRNA) molecules are approximately 80 nucleotides in length. Their secondary structure includes four short double-helical elements and three loops (D, anti-codon, and T loops).
Source: RNAcentral
UCUUUGUUAGUAUAUCGGUUAGUACACGCGCCUGUCAUUUCAUAACGACCGCGCGAAAGCUGGGUUCGACUCCCAGACAGAGAG